RNAcentral lists this unclassified non-coding RNA (78 nucleotides) under Paraburkholderia tuberum. The record is from RNAcentral. Lineage: Bacteria; Pseudomonadati; Pseudomonadota; Betaproteobacteria; Burkholderiales; Burkholderiaceae.
UCGAGCGCAGUGCUGUGAAAGUCGCAUGGUGCGUUCUUCGGGGGGGCGCGUUCCCGGGAGGGGCUGCGGCUACCCAAU